Molecule: long non-coding RNA, 467 nt
Organism: Arachis duranensis
Lineage: Eukaryota; Viridiplantae; Streptophyta; Magnoliopsida; Fabales; Fabaceae
Exons: 3
Source: RefSeq, a predicted model, not a curated record
CUUUUUUAAAGAGUUGAAAGUAAUUUACAAGUUUUAAUUAUGCAAUGUAGGAUUCAAUCGCAAAUGGAAUCCCUUUGGAAGAUUUUGGACAUGGUCAUCCUGAUCCUAAUCUGAGGACUGUUUUAGCUUGGCUUUCUAUUAUUGCGCACCGCAACAAAGACAAGAAGGCAGGGGAGAAACUGAUCUCUUUGGCUGAUGUUGUGAAGGAACACUGGGCAACUUAUGGAUUCUUUUCUAGAUAUGACUGAGGAAUGUGAAUCUGAAGGUGCCAAUAAAAUGGUAGCAUAUCUACGAGAGACUGCAUCAAAGAGCAAGAUUGGCGAUAACUUCUAAUGAUAAUUUUGAUAGUUCUAAUGAUCUCCUAAGUUCUAACGGUGAACUUAUUUUGUCCUAAUUCAAUUAUUAGUUUUGUUAAAGUAUUGUAAUUUUUUAAUUACAAUUUUAGCAUGUAAAUAAUUCAUGUAAAU